UGGAGAUAACUGUAUUGUAUUUUAAGCUUGGCCUUCGUUAGUAGGUAAACUAAAUUUACGUAGGCCAAGCUUAAAAAACAAUACAUUUAUCUCCUAAUUUUCGU
RNAcentral lists this small RNA (104 nucleotides) under Mytilus galloprovincialis (Mediterranean mussel). The record is from RNAcentral. Lineage: Eukaryota; Metazoa; Mollusca; Bivalvia; Mytilida; Mytilidae.